GAUGAACGCUGGCGGCGUGCCUAAUACAUGCAAGUCGAGCGAACAGACGAGGAGCUUGCUCCUCUGACGUUAGCGGCGGACGGGUGAGUAACACGUGGAUAACCUACCUAUAAGACUGGGAUAACUUCGGGAAACCGGAGCUAAUACCGGAUAAUAUAUUGAACCGCAUGGUUCAAUAGUGAAAGACGGUUUUGCUGUCACUUAUAGAUGGAUCCGCGCCGCAUUAGCUAGUUGGUAAGGUAACGGCUUACCAAGGCAACGAUGCGUAGCCGACCUGAGAGGGUGAUAGGCCACACUGGAACUGAGACACGGUCCAGACUCCUACGGGAGGCAGCAGUAGGGAAUCUUACGCAAUGGGCGAAAGCAUGACGGAGCAACGCGGCGUGAGUGAUGAAGGUCUUCGGAGCGUAAAACUCUGUUAUUAGGGAAGAACAAAUGUGUAAGUAACUAUGUACGUCUUGACGGUACCUAAUCAGAAAGCCACGGCUAACUACGUG
RNAcentral lists this ribosomal RNA (497 nucleotides) under uncultured bacterium. RNAcentral's name for it is "partial 16S ribosomal RNA". It matches the Rfam family "Bacterial small subunit ribosomal RNA", at positions 28 to 507 of the family's 1533-position model. The record is from RNAcentral.